GCAGUCAGAGGCGAUGAAGGGCGUGCUAAUCUGCGAUAAGCGCCGGUAAGGUGAUAUGAACCGUUAUAACCGGCGAUACCCGAAUGGGGAAACCCAGUGUGACUCGUCACACUAUCAUUAACUGAAUCCAUAGGUUAAUGAGGCGAACCGGGGGAACUGAAACAUCUAAGUACCCCGAGGAAAAGAAAUCAACCGAGAUUCCCCCAGUAGCGGCGAGCGAACGGGGAGGAGCCCAGAGCCUGAAUCAGCAUGUGUGUUAGUGGAAGCGUCUGGAAAGGCGCGCGAUACAGGGUGACAGCCCCGUACACAAAAGCGCAUGUGCUGUGAGCUCGAUGAGUAGGGCGGGACACGUGGUAUCCUGUCUGAAUAUGGGGGGACCAUCCUCCAAGGCUAAAUACUCCUGACUGACCGAUAGUGAACCAGUACCGUGAGGGAAAGGCGAAAAGAACCCCGGCGAGGGGAGUGAAAAAGAACCUGAAACCGUGUACGUACAAGCAGUGGGAGCACCCUUUGGGUGUGACUGCGUACCUUUUGUAUAAUGGGUCAGCG
RNAcentral lists this ribosomal RNA (549 nucleotides) under Salmonella enterica. RNAcentral's name for it is "partial 23S ribosomal RNA". It matches the Rfam family "Bacterial large subunit ribosomal RNA", at positions 36 to 625 of the family's 2925-position model. Lineage: Bacteria; Pseudomonadati; Pseudomonadota; Gammaproteobacteria; Enterobacterales; Enterobacteriaceae. The record is from RNAcentral.